Molecule: long non-coding RNA, 823 nt
Organism: Ruditapes philippinarum (Manila clam)
Lineage: Eukaryota; Metazoa; Mollusca; Bivalvia; Venerida; Veneridae
Exons: 3
Source: RefSeq, a predicted model, not a curated record
AAAGCUGACGUCCAAAAACCGAUGUCUAUUACACGUUUCUUUUUCACGUCGUACUAACGUCAGGUUCUGGUCGGUGUCCCAACGGUAGGUAAAAAUUAAUAAAAAAUAAUCCUUAUACUAUUAUUAUUUGUGGUACAUUAUAUGUAUCAAAGUCACGAGUUUUUAAUAGUGCUUUUACAUUUAAUCAUAGUGACAGAAAAAGGAAAUAAAACAUAAUUAUAAUUCGAAUAUACAGCCACGUGGAGGAAAAAUUCAAAUUCGUAAGCGUUUCGUACGUUUUGGCGGUGGUCAGGAAUCGGGAUGCAUUGAUAAAGUGAAUAUUCUAGAUUUUCUUGGAGAAAAAGGUAGUUCAAGUGUUGGACAUGCUCUUAAAGGUCGGAGGGACAGAAAUACGUGACAAUGUAAAAAGAAACAUGGGAAAUGAAAAUGAUAUUACAAACGCCAUUGGACAUUAACAUAUCCUCCGGACAGACGAGGGGUGGUGAGAGAAGGUCAUAUAUCUAAAAGCAUCACACCUCCAAAUUCGUGCUAAUUCUCAUGGAUAUUUAAAAGUAUAUCUUUGUGAAGUAACUAAAAGGAAGUAGUUUAUACGUUAGUGACAAUUAUCAAAAGGAGGUCAAAAUAUGCAUAAUAGCACUAAAUGUUUUAGUAAUGCUGUAGAAAUAUAGUAAAAAUACUACAAAUCUGAAAUCUGUCAUUAAUUGCUUGAAACAUUAUUAUCCGAAUCUUUUAACUUUUCUUGAAAUUAUAAUAUUUUCAUUUUGUUUAUAAGGCAAAUUUUGAAUAUCCUCUAUAUGUUUUAUUUAUUUCAUUGUUUUUGUAA